This is a long non-coding RNA of Acinonyx jubatus (cheetah), 1372 nucleotides long. RefSeq lists it as uncharacterized. The record is from RefSeq and is a predicted model, not a curated record. The transcript has 3 exons. NCBI's taxonomy places the organism in Eukaryota, Metazoa, Chordata, Mammalia, Carnivora, Felidae.
GUAUAGGCUUCAGGAGAGUAUUGAAGAGAAUACCAGUCAACAAAAGGAAUAAUAAGGAGAUGCUGAUAAUUUGUCUGACACAACAAUCAAGGUUUUUUCCAGUUGAUCAACGAGUGUCCUUGCCCUCUCAUUGCUGUAUUCCUGGAGAAGUGACACUUCAGAAUCUAAAAUCUGAGGGAUUAGUUGAAUUUAGCCAGACAAAAGGGACGGAGCCAGGAGGAGAAAAGAGUGCAGCAUCGAAAGUGGAAGGGAUGCCAAGUGCAAAGGCCCAGAGACAGGAGAGAGCAAGAUUCUCCAAUGUCUAGAACAAGGUGGACACUCAAUGAUUUGUUGAGUGAGUGAAUGAAUAAAUGAACGGCAUCAAUGUGGAAAGAAGAGCUAUAAAGAAUUGAAAGAGAAGGGCCUCUUUGGGAGAUAACUUGAACAGAAUGAAGCAAGUACUUGUUCUACCAGCUCAUCUGUGGCCAGAUUAUAGUUACCUAAGAAUAUGAAUAUCUGUUUGAUACAGAUUUAUUAUAAGGAAUUGGCUCAUAUAAUUAUGGAGGCUGCGAAGUACCAAGGUCUGCAGACUGCAAGGUGGAGACCUAGAAAACUUGGUGUGGUUCUAGUUCAAGUGCAAAGGCCUAAGAACCAGGAGAACUGAUGGUAUGUUGGCAGGCCCAAGAGCCAAGAAAUGUUGAUGUUUCAGUUAGGGUCCAAAGGCAGGAAAAAACUUACGUUUGGACUCUAGUCGUCUGGCUGGUGAAGUGCCCUCUAACUCAGAUCUUCAGUUGAUUGGAUAAAGCCCACCCGCACUUUAGGAAGGACAAUCUGCUUGACUCAGUCUGCUAAAAUGCUAAUCUCAUCAAAAAACACCUUCAGAGACACACACCUAGGAUAGCAUUUGACCUAAUCUCUGGGUACCCUGUAGUACCCAGAUCAGGUCAUGAUCUCGUGGCUCAUGAGUUCGAGCCCCACAUUAGGUUCUCACUGCUGUCAGCAUGAUCCCACCUCAGAAGUUCUUUCUCCCUCUCUCUUGCACUUUCUCAAAAAUAAAACAUUAAAGAAAAUUUCUAAAAACUGCAUACGUUAAUGUUCAGUGUUUGUGCUGUAAAGUUCUGUGGGUUUUGACAAAUGCAUACUGUCAUGUAUCUAUAAUUACAGUAUCAUAUGGAACUGUUGCACUGCCUAGAAGUCACCCCUCCUCUCAUAGUCAACCUGACCUCCCUCCCACCGCACCUCUGGCAAUCACUGAUGUUUUCAUUUUUGCCCUUUUCAGAACAUCAUGUAGUUGGAAUCAUAUAGUAUAUAGCCUUGCCGAUGCUUCUUUCAAUUUAUCAACAUGCAUUUAAGGUUCAUAUAUGUCUUUUUUACUUGUUGAUAGCUAAUGUCU